Molecule: ribosomal RNA, 502 nt
Filed under: uncultured bacterium
Lineage: Bacteria
Description: partial 16S ribosomal RNA
Rfam family: Bacterial small subunit ribosomal RNA
Source: RNAcentral
AUUGAACGCUGGCGGCAUGCCUUACACAUGCAAGUCGAACGGCAGCACGGGUGCUUGCACCUGGUGGCGAGUGGCGGACGGGUGAGUAAUACAUCGGAACAUGUCCUGUAGAGGGGGAUAGCUCGGCGAAAGCCGAAUUAAUACCGCAUACGAUCUUAGGAAGAAAGCGGGGGCUCUUCGGACCUCGCGCUAUAGGGUUGGCCGAUGGCAGAUUAGCUAGUUGGUGGGGUAAAGGCCUACCAAGGCGACGAUCUGUAGCUGGUCUGAGAGGAUGGCCAGCCACACUGGGACUGAGACACGGCCCAGACUCCUACGGGAGGCAGCAGUGGGGAAUUUUGGACAAUGGGGGCAACCCUGAUCCAGCAAUGCCGCGUGUGUGAAGAAGGCCUUCGGGUUGUAAAGCACUUUUGUCUAGGAAGAAAUCGACUGUGUUAAUAGCAUGGUUGGAUGACGGUACUGGAAGAAUAAGCACCGGCUAACUACGUGCCAGCCGCCGCAGUAA